GCAAGGCCUUGCGCUCUUUGAGCGGCCGAUGUCAGAUUAGCUAGUUGGUGAGGUAAAGGCUUACCAAGGCGACGAUCUGUAGCGGGUCUGAGAGGAUGAUCCGCCACACUGGAACUGAGACACGGUCCAGACUCCUACGGGAGGCAGCAGUGGGGAAUUUUGGACAAUGGGGGCAACCCUGAUCCAGCCAUGCCGCGUGAGUGAAGAAGGCCUUCGGGUUGUAAAGCUCUUUCGGCCGGGAAGAAAUCGCAUGGGCCAAUACCCUGUGUGGAUGACGGUACCGGAAUAAGAAGCACCGGCUAACUACGUGCCAGCAGCCGCGGUAAUACGUAGGGUGCGAGCGUUAAUCGGAAUUACUGGGCGUAAAGCGUGCGCAGGCGGUUUUGUAAGACAGGCGUGAAAUCCCCGGGCUUAACCUGGGAACUGCGUUUGUGACUGCAAGGCUAGAGUACGGCAGAGGGGGGUGGAAUUCCACGUGUAGCAGUGAAAUGCGUAGAGAUGUGGAGGAACACCAAUGGCGAAGGCAGCCCCCUGGGUCGAUACUGACGCUCAUGCACGAAAGCGUGGGUAGCAAACAGGAUUAGAUACCCUGGUAGUCCACGCCCUAAACUAUGUCAACUAGGUGUUGGGUGGGUAAAACCAUUUAGUACCGUAGCUAACGCGUGAAGUUGACCGCCUGGGGAGUACGGCCGCAAGGUUAAAACUCAAAGGAAUUGACGGGGACCCGCACAAGCGGUGGAUGAUGUGGAUUAAUUCGAUGCAACGCGAAAAACCUUACCUACCCUUGACAUGCCAGGAACUUGCCAGAGAUGGCUUGGUGCCCGAAAGGGAGCCUGGACACAGGUGCUGCAUGGCUGUCGUCAGCUCGUGUCGUGAGAUGUUGGGUUAAGUCCCGCAACGAGCGCAACCCUUGUCGUUAAUUGCCAUCAUUUAGUUGGGCACUUUAACGAGACUGCCGGUGACAAACCGGAGGAAGGUGGGGAUGACGUCAAGUCCUCAUGGCCCUUAUGGGUAGGGCUUCACACGUCAUACAAUGGUCGGUACAAAGGGUUGCCAAGCCGCGAGGCGGAGCCAAUCCCAGAAAGCCGAUCGUAGUCCGGAUUGCAGGCUGCAACUCGCCUGCAUGAAGUCGGAAUCGCUAGUAAUCGUGGAUCAGCAUGUCACGGUGAAUACGUUCCCGGGUCUUGUACACACCGCCCGUCACACCAUGGGAGCGGGUUCCGCCAGAAGUAGGUAGCCUAACCGCAAGGGGGGCGCUUACCACGGCGGGGUUCGUGGCUGGGGUGAAGUCGAAACAAGGUA
RNAcentral lists this ribosomal RNA (1302 nucleotides) under metagenome. RNAcentral's name for it is "bacterial SSU rRNA". It matches the Rfam family "Bacterial small subunit ribosomal RNA", at positions 202 to 1498 of the family's 1533-position model. The record is from RNAcentral.